GAUGAACGCUGGCGGCGUGCUUAACACAUGCAAGUCGAACGGAAAGGCCCAAGCUUGCUUGGGUACUCGAGUGGCGAACGGGUGAGUAACACGUGGGUGAUCUGCCCUGCACUUCGGGAUAAGCCUGGGAAACUGGGUCUAAUACCGGAUAGGACGAUGGUUUGGAUGCCAUUGUGGAAAGUUUUUUCGGUGUGGGAUGAGCUCGCGGCCUAUCAGCUUGUUGGUGGGGUAAUGGCCUACCAAGGCGUCGCCGGGUAGCCGGCCUGAGAGGGUGUACGGCCACAUUGGGACUGAGAUACGGCCCAGACUCCUACGGGAGGCAGCAGUGGGGAAUAUUGCACAAUGGGCGCAAGCCUGAUGCAGCGACGCCGCGUGGGGGAUGACGGCCUUCGGGUUGUAAACUCCUUUCGCUAGGGACGAAGCGUUUUUGUGACGGUACCUGGAGAAGAAGCACCGGCUAACUACGUG
RNAcentral lists this ribosomal RNA (468 nucleotides) under uncultured bacterium. RNAcentral describes it as "partial 16S ribosomal RNA". It matches the Rfam family "Bacterial small subunit ribosomal RNA", at positions 28 to 507 of the family's 1533-position model. The record is from RNAcentral.